UUCAGGAAACUGUAUCAGGAAACUCCGGGAGGAGGCAGCAAGGAGUCCCUGCCUGGUGUACUGUGCACGCGCUCCUUCCCAACAGGAAGCCUCUACCCAGGUGGAUAGAUCUGGGGUUUUCUAGGAAGCCAAAAAGGUUCUGGCCUGACAAUGUGCCACUCACUUUGAAAACUUGAUGUUAAAGUUCCCGUGCUUUUGUGGACAUUUGGCUGGGAUUCAGGAUGAGACUCUUAAAAUUCGAGUGAUUGCUGCCUUUCCUGAGAAAGAGAACGGAGCCUAUAAAACAGAUGCAACCAGAAGGAGUGCCAUGGUGUGCUUUGAAAGGAAGAGAGCUCGGGCUGGAGAGAUGACUCAGUGGUUGAGAGCACUGACUGCUCUUCCAGAGGUCCUGAGUUAAUUCCCAGCAACCACGUGGUGGCUCACAACCAUCUGUAAUGAGAUCUGAUGCCCUUUUCUGGUGUGUCUGAAGACAGCUACAGUGUACUUAUAUAUAAUAAAUGAAUAAAUCU
Long non-coding RNA from Rattus rattus (black rat), 509 nucleotides. RefSeq lists it as uncharacterized. The transcript has 2 exons. NCBI's taxonomy places the organism in Eukaryota, Metazoa, Chordata, Mammalia, Rodentia, Muridae. The record is from RefSeq and is a predicted model, not a curated record.